RNAcentral lists this ribosomal RNA (133 nucleotides) under uncultured bacterium. RNAcentral describes it as "partial 16S ribosomal RNA". The record is from RNAcentral.
GUAGUUANCCGGGGCUUCCUCUGAGGGUACCGUCAAUAUNUUCCCCUCUGACAGUGGUUUACAUUCCGAAAAACUUCAUCCCACACACGGCGUCGCUCCGUCAGGCUUUCGCCCAUUGCGGAAAAAUUCCUCG